Molecule: long non-coding RNA, 2986 nt
Organism: Myotis lucifugus (little brown bat)
Lineage: Eukaryota; Metazoa; Chordata; Mammalia; Chiroptera; Vespertilionidae
Exons: 3
Source: RefSeq, a predicted model, not a curated record
UUUAAAGUUAAACUAAUGUUUUUCAAACAUCAUUUAAAGUCUCUGAACAUCUGGACGCCUAUAUAUCGUGAUUACAGCAUUAGAGAACCACUUGACUUUUUGGUAAAUGGAAGUGUGGUCAUUGAUUCGCUCAGCUGAGAUUUGCAUUAACUUCAUACAUGCAGUCUUCACAUCCUUCGAGGACUAGUGUAGACAACCACUUUAUUCUUCACUGGCCAUCUCAGAGUCUAGUGACAUCUGCUAACCUAGAGACAUUGCACAGAGAAGCUGUAAUGGAUCUCGGAGAUCACUGAUUUCUGAAAGUCGGAGGCUGGAGGAGUGUGGGACUGGCUGUGACCAUAUUGUUGUUACUUGGAGAACCAAUAGAACCAGGACUAGAGUACACAUCCCUUAACUCCAAUGCAGGUCUCUUCCAUUCUUGUAGCCCAUCCUUUUUUGAAUACACCAAUCUUAUGCAUUUUAAGUCAAUCAAAAUUUGAAGUACAGUGAUCUGAUUUUGUGUAAUUUAAAGCGCUACUUACUAAUUUUAUGUUUAAAAUAUUCUAACUUUGAAGACCAAUUUCUACAGAUAAUUAAUGAUUUCAUGUUGGUGGUGACUUAGUUAAGAAUGAUGAUGGAUUAAUUUCUUUGCUAAAUUAUUAUAGUUCUAUGGUAUCAUCUAAAGAGGAUGGGAUCAAAGGGCUACCCAAGUUGGACUCACAUAAGCUAGACUCAUGAAUUUCAUUUGAAAUCGACCAUAAUGUAUUGAGCAUUUACUGUUGUUGGGCCCUGUUCUGGGCAUCCAGGCCAUGGCAUUGAACAGGCCCUGAGUAUUAUCAUCUGCUGUCCUGGAGCUUACUUGUAAGGGAGGAGCAAUUCCUAAUUUGUUCUUUUCAUUCCUGUUGUUAGAGCAAUGGUAUUAGAACUGAAGGGAAAGUUAUUUUCCCUCUGUGAGAGCUCCUGGAUCAGUUAGAUGAAGCCGGUAAUAUACAAAUGAAGUAUUUAUAUAAUCACUGAUUCUGUGGACUCAACAGUAUAGAGAUAGUUGUCUGUACCUAUAGACAGUGUAUGCUGUAAGCAGAACAGGAGCAUUAGAAUAAAGAUGCUAAACCUCUCAGAAUCUCAUUUUCUGAAUUGGUGAAUUAGGACUAAUAAUAGCUUGUGAGUGUCAAAUGAGGUUCAAAGGUAAAGUGACUGGCCUAGCAUAUAAGAAAUGUUCAAUAAAUGGUCGCUGCUAUUAUUGUUUCUUAUUAUUAUGUAUACGUGUAGUCGAAAGAAAGAUUAGAGUGUGCUUAGGUUUUCUUAGUCUUUCCCCCUCCCCUAUAUUACCACAAUUCUUACUUAGCUUUUUUUGUUUUCUUAUGGCACAAAUUAAGUUCACAGGAAUAAUAACAUGCUUCCAGGAAUAUACCUGAAACUAAUUGAAAUUCCACAAAAUAGGUCCAGAGAUAGUUGCUGCUUGUGCUGGGCUUGGGGCCAAUUAGCAAGAAGUACGGGGCACACUGAGGACAGGUGCUGCUUGUUUGGGUUUGUGAGCCUUUGAGAGAUUUUAGGAAAGUCCGCGGCAUUGGGGCAUGGGCCAAGACAAGCCAUAUGUGUGGAAAAGCCACAAGUUGGUGGGACAGCAUCUCAGAGAAUCACCAGGGAGGGGGAAUGGUGUUAGCUGGGUUGAUGGAGAGUCAGAUAUGGUGCCAGCUGGGGCUUGCAGGCUGGGUGGGGAAAAGGCCCCACAAAGGAGCGAUGGCUUCUGCCAGCACUUCUGUCUCAGAGAAUGCUGUCCUUGCAGUUAAUUUUUUAAGAGGCUGAAUGUUUUCUUAAUCAUAACUGUAGGGGUGAUAAUUACAGGUGAUAAAAAUGUUUAAGGAAGUCCUAAUGGUUAUAGGAAAAGAAAGUCCUUACUUUUGAGCCAAAGCUAGAUGUGAUUAAGUGGGUUUGCUUGUUAUUAUUGUUAUUAAUAAGGAAGAGGAGUUUUGUAAGUCUGAAAUAUUAGCCCCUAACUUUUUCAACCUUUUUAAUAUAAAUGUUUAUUUAGAAUUUUAAAAAUUAAGUGAGGACACUAAAAUGGGUUACAAGGUGUCGUAUGAUCUAAACCUUACCUAUAUAUUUUCCUCAUUUUAUCAGAAUUUCUUUCUGGCUCAUUGUGUUUGAACCAUACCUUCCGUUGAAUAUUUUGUAUUAUUUUUGUCAGAGCCUAAGUUUAUACUGGAUUUCCUGCUGGAAUGCAUUCAUCUCUCACCUGGCUGUCCCUUUCUCCUAACUCCCCAUGACCCAGGUCUUCAGACUGUAAGGUGUGUGAAGGCAAGGAUGAUGUCUGUUGUGUUCACCACAGCAUGCUCAGCACCAAAAGCCAGUGGCUGGCUCCUAGUGAAUCUUCUAAUAUUUCUUGACUCAUUUAAUGGACUCAACUAAAGCAGAGACAGGAGGCAACCUAACCAGAUGGAACACUUGAGCUACAUAUUGACCAGAAUUAACUGAAACAACUUGCCCAACUCAAUAAAAAAAGAAACAGCAGCAUCUGAAUGUGAGUCUAACUCCAAAGAGAAUCCUUUUACCAUGCCCAAAGGUAAGGCCAGGCUUGGUGUCCUCCCAUGACUCCCUGAGCUUCAGGUCCUCAUAAUACCCCUCUAAUACCUUCUGUACAAUUUUGCUUUGAAGAAAUAAAAGGUAAUAUAUGGAUAAUUCUUAGCACACAGAAGGUCUGCAAUAAAUGUUGGGUUUCUUCUCCAUUUCAUUUCGUAAUCACUUGCUUAAAACCUUGCUCUUUCUACUAUAUGAUACUGUCCCUUCGAUGUCCCUGAGGCCCCAUAUGUAUACCUCCAACAACACUGAUGACUGUAUUAUAAUCAUUGGCUUACCUCUCUGCUCUUCACUAGUGAGUAAUCAUUGGGCAAGUUGUUCACCUUUAAAUCCAGAGGGCUAUUGUGAUGAUCAGAUGAGUUUUGUAAAUCACUUAGCAUAUAAGUCUUAUGCUUGUAUAUUUUCUUUUUUAAAUAUGUUUUUUUUUUUA